This 253-nucleotide ribosomal RNA is filed under the name uncultured bacterium. Its description in RNAcentral is "partial 16S ribosomal RNA". It matches the Rfam family "Bacterial small subunit ribosomal RNA", at positions 524 to 776 of the family's 1533-position model. The record is from RNAcentral.
UACGUAGGUGGCAAGCGUUGUCCGGAUUUACUGGGUGUAAAGGGCGUGCAGCCGGGCUGACAAGUCAGAUGUGAAAUCCCGCGGCUCAACCGCGGAACUGCAUUUGAAACUGUCAGUCUUGAGUACCGGAGAGGUCAUCGGAAUUCCUUGUGUAGCGGUGAAAUGCGUAGAUACAAGGAAGAACACCAGUGGCGAAGGCGGAUGACUGGACGGCAACUGACGGUGAGGCGCGAAAGCGUGGGGAGCAAACAGG